UUUUCAGGUUCACAGGAAGGGGGUUUUCAGAAUCACAAGAAGCGUUUUUCAGAAUCACAAGAAGCGUUUUUCAGAAUCACAAGAAGCGUUUUUGUACGUUUUCAGCGUUGUUGUACGUUUUCAGCGUUGUUGUACGUUUUCAGCGUUGUUGUACGUCUGGCCAUUUUUUUUAAGAUGCAUAGGCAAGCAGCAAGAUGCAUUUGUCAGGUUUGCAUUGGUAGAUUGCAUUGGGGUGCGUUGGGGGUGCAGGCAAGCAAGCAGCAAGCAGAGCAGCAGCAUUUUGGGGGGGGCAUGGCCAGUUAUUUUAUUAGUUGAUGAAGUGAAAGUACAGAAUGGAACAGCGGUGAAGAUUUAAGCAAAGUAAAGGUUUGAAAUUUAAUUUAAAGGUAUUGAAAGGACAAGACAAGAACAUACAACAAACA
This is a non-coding RNA of Paramisgurnus dabryanus, 422 nucleotides long. The record is from RefSeq and is a predicted model, not a curated record. NCBI's taxonomy places the organism in Eukaryota, Metazoa, Chordata, Actinopteri, Cypriniformes, Cobitidae.